RNAcentral lists this long non-coding RNA (1265 nucleotides) under Citrus maxima (pomelo). RNAcentral describes it as "long non-coding RNA (CMAX_LNC001952)". The record is from RNAcentral. Lineage: Eukaryota; Viridiplantae; Streptophyta; Magnoliopsida; Sapindales; Rutaceae.
CCAGGAGGAGGGAGUGCAAACGCAAGGCAGAAGAGGGGAGAAAAGGACGAGUGCAGCAGUUCGGCUUCAUGGCUGAUUUGAUUUAUUUUGUUGCUCUCAAUUCAAGUAUGUUUAACUAAUUUUCUUAUAUUAAAAUUAAGGAUGAAACCCUAUUCAAUGAAAUAAUUAUCUUUUUAUUUAAUUAAUUCCCUAUAUAUGUACAUCAUCCCAGGUUCGUCAAUUUCUGUUUAGAUUUUGGUAAUAUUAGUCCUCUGCCUCAAACUCAGUGACACUAACUUAUCUUUAUUUCUUUAUCUGUAAAGGAAAAGAUGCUCGUUGGCGUACAGAACUUUCAGGGCAGGUAAUUAGUAAUGAAGUGUUUGCUUCAUUUUCAAUUUGGUUAAGUUGAACUUGGUACCUUGUUAUUUGUUUUUUUAACACCAAUUUCAUUUUUUCCCCCAUUUUAUCUUACGUGAAAUUUAUAAUUUUCACACUCCCCAGGUUCAAUAUGUCUGGUUGUGUGCUUCCUUCCCUCAACAACCUCAAUGCGAAGAGAGCUGGGACAUGUCGAAUGGGAUUUUUUUUAAUUUUUAAUGAUGGUCUCUGCUGAAAACAGCAGGUUUUGCAGUUUCAGAGGUUGCUUUCAGCUGUCAUAAAGGCACUGUUCUCAUAUGAAAUGUGUUUGAUCCAUUUUUGUGGCUUUCUACGAGGUGUAAUGCGUUAUGACGAUCAGUUAAGUUUCCGAGCUUUGCAUUUUUAUGCUUCUUUUAGGACUACUAUGAGCUUGUAAAGUCAGUUUCAUAUAAAAAUCCGUAAUUUGAAGUUUUUUUAGUGCCUUUACAUUUGUACUCUUAAUUUCCACAUUCUGGAUGUUUUCAUAUAAUGCGAAAUAAAUUUUUGUUCAAGCAUGAAGAGUCACGUUUCCGAGUUAAUUGCAGCCUGCCAGGACCUUACAGACAUGAUAUGCCAAGACUGUGAAAGCAAUCCCUCGGACGAAAAUUUCAUCAGAUUUAUACAUUGAAGCUUUAAACAUAGGAUGCCUUCACCAUUCUGAAAUUACGUGUUUAUACUGACUCACGCAGCAAACUGCCUUACCUUGUACUAAGAAAUGAAGAACAUAGACGUUACAUUAAACAAUUAUGUAAAUAGAGAUUAAAAAGCCUGUCUUCCUUUGCUCACUCUCUUAGUCUUCGGCAGUAACGUUCCAUUUCUUUGUUCCAGAGCAUUCCUCUUCACACAUUAGCUCUAUCAAGACAGAUCAAACAGAAAAAGGUCAUGUGGUACAA